This is a non-coding RNA of Capsicum annuum, 185 nucleotides long. The record is from Rfam. NCBI's taxonomy places the organism in Eukaryota, Viridiplantae, Streptophyta, Magnoliopsida, Solanales, Solanaceae.
CUAGUCCAACUUUAUGAAAUAACUUAAGAGGUGUAAUUUAAGAGGGACCCAAAAGAAAAAAGUGAAAUACCACUAUUUUUAACAUUAUUUUACUUAUUCCAAGGAUUAAAAAUGGGGAACUGCCCCUCUUUUUGGACUCGAGGCUUGCUUUGAGGGCUGAUUGCCCAUGUCGAUGUUGUGUGCUG